UACGGGGGUGGCGAGCGUUACUCGGAUUUAUUGGGUGUAAAGGGCAGGUAGGCGGCUAUGUAAGUUGUAGGUGAAAUCCUUUGGCUCAACCAAAGAACUGCCUUCAAAACUGCAUAGCUUGAGGAUAGAAGAGGAAAGCGGAAUUCCCGGUGUAAGGGUGAAAUCUGUAGAUAUCGGGAGGAACACCUGUGGCGAAAGCGGCUUUCUGGUCUAUCCCUGACGCUGAUCUGCGAAAGCUAGGGGAG
Molecule: ribosomal RNA, 245 nt
Filed under: uncultured bacterium
Lineage: Bacteria
Description: partial 16S ribosomal RNA
Rfam family: Bacterial small subunit ribosomal RNA
Source: RNAcentral